Ribosomal RNA from Bison bison bison, 112 nucleotides. The record is from Ensembl. NCBI's taxonomy places the organism in Eukaryota, Metazoa, Chordata, Mammalia, Artiodactyla, Bovidae.
GUCUACGGCCAUGCCACCCGAACACGCCUGAUCGUGUCUGAUCUCUGAAGGUAAGCAGGGUCGGGCCUGGUUAGUACUUGGAUGGGAAAGGGAAAAAGCCGGACUUUGGCCC